UUAUAAUUUAUUUAUUAAAAAAAUUUAUAUUGAAUAUAAUUUAUUAAAAAUAAUUAUAAAAGGUAAUGUUUUAGUAAAGUUUAAUGAAAAAAUAAGUUUUAUGAUAGUUUAUUAUGUAUUGUGAAAGGAUAUUGAAAUAUAUUGAAAAAUUUUUAUUACAAAAGAAGAUUUAAUUUUUUGUACCUUGUGUAUCAGGGUUUAUUAAUUAAAUAAUAAAUAUUUAUUUAUCUCGAUUCUAUAAGAGUUAAUAGUUUAUUAAAGUUAAUGUGUUAAAAUUAUUUUAAAUAAAGUAUUAGAAAUGAAAUGUUAUUCGUUUAUAGAGAUAUCUAGUUUUUUUAGAAAUAAAUUUAAUUUACAAUUUUUUAAUUUUCUCUAUUGAUUUUAUUAAUGAGUCAAAUUAUUGAAUUGAAUAUUUUAGGGGAUAAGCUCUAAAAUAAAUUAUUAUAAAUAAUUAAUUUUAAAAUGAAAUGUAUGCAUAGAAUUAGCAACCAUUGAUAACUUUGUUAUAAAUUAUUUUUUGAAUUUUAUGAUUUAUUAAGUUUUAAGUUUUUAUAAAGAUUUUUCUAUUAAUUAUUAUAGAGAUUAAUAAUGAUAAAAUUAGUAUAUUAUUUAUGUUUAUAAAAUUUUAAGUGAAAAGUUUAUUUAAAGAACUCGGCAAAUAUAUUACUCGCCUGUUUAACAAAAACAUGUCUUUUUGAGUUAAUUAUAAAGUCUGACCUGCCCAAUGAUAAUUUUAAUGGCCGCAGUAUUCUAACUGUGCAAAGGUAGCAUAAUCAUUAGUCUUUUAAUUGAAGGCUGGAAUGAACGGUUGGACGAAGUAUAAGCUGUUUCAUAUAAAUUUAUUUUAGAAUUUUAUUUUUUAGUUAAAAAGCUAAAAUUGUAUUAAAAGACGAGAAGACCCUAUAAAUCUUUAUAAAUUAUAUUUCUUAGAUUUUUUGGGUUGAUUUUAUUUUUGAAAUAUAGUUUAUUUUGUUGGGGUGAUGUUAAAAUUUGACAAACUUUUAAAUUAUAAAUCAUUAAUUUAUGAAUGAAUGAUCCGUUUAUAGCGAUUAUAAGAUUAAGUUACUUUAGGGAUAACAGCGUAAUUUUUUUGGAGAGUUCAUAUCGAUAAAAAAGGUUGCGACCUCGAUGUUGGAUUAAGAAAAAUUUUAGGUGUAGCUGCUUAAAAAUUAAGUCUGUUCGACUUUUAAUUUCUUACAUGAUCUGAGUUCAGACCGGCGUAAGCCAGGUUGGUUUCUAUCUUUAAUAAAAUUUAAUAUUUCAGUACGAAAGGACCAUAUAUUAGAAUAAUUAUAUUUUAUAUAAUGAAUUUCAUUAAUAU
Molecule: ribosomal RNA, 1321 nt
Filed under: Felderimyia fuscipennis
Lineage: Eukaryota; Metazoa; Arthropoda; Insecta; Diptera; Tephritidae
Description: 16S ribosomal RNA
Rfam family: Archaeal large subunit ribosomal RNA (bases 1073-1231)
Source: RNAcentral